GGUAACAUGUUAUUUCAAUGAAUGACCAAUAUAAUUAAUAUAAGAUGUAUUUAAUUUUGGCCAUAUUAUUUAUUUAAAUUUUCAGUUUAAUUAUGAUAAUGUUAUGUACAGAUUGCAAUUCAAGUAGUGAAGGUGAACACCAAGACACAUGAUGCAGAAAUGCAGGAUCAGUAAAAAUAUGCAUGGACAAACCAAUACUGGCAACAAUAAAAUUGCAUCAACCACAGAAGCAACAGGCAAAAUGUCAGAAGCAAGUGGAAUUCAAAUGAAACAUUUAAACAUAGGCCUCCAGACAAGGGUGAAAUCAUCAAAGAACACACAGUCACUCAAUUAGAUUUAGAAAUUGUACUAUGAAUGACUUUUGAGAGUCUGUUAAGAGCUGUUGUUUUUGUUUUGGCUCUUGGUUCAAUGUUUUCAUUUUGGCUCUUGUUUCAAUGUUUUCAUUAUUUUGUAAUGAUUUUAUUCUGGGAAAUGCUUCUAUAUAGCAGCUGGCAGAGCACUUAGAAAUGGUUCAACAAACAUGGAUGUCCUGCUUGCUUUGGGAACUACAACAUCCUAUAUUUAUUCUGUUUGUGCUCUUCUGUAUGGUGCCUUUACUGGAUUUUGGUCUCCAAUAUA
This is a non-coding RNA of Cajanus cajan (pigeon pea), 618 nucleotides long. The record is from RefSeq and is a predicted model, not a curated record. Lineage: Eukaryota; Viridiplantae; Streptophyta; Magnoliopsida; Fabales; Fabaceae.